This 1327-nucleotide long non-coding RNA is filed under the name Notechis scutatus (mainland tiger snake). RNAcentral describes it as "lncRNA (ENSNSUG00000013819.1)". The record is from RNAcentral. Lineage: Eukaryota; Metazoa; Chordata; Lepidosauria; Squamata; Elapidae.
CAGAAAAUGAAGAGGAAAGGCAGAAGUGCUGUUGGAAAGCAGCAGGACUCUUGUGAUGUGUGGCUGGAUCCUUCAGCACUCAAAAGACGCAAAGUGGUGAAUGUUGCCACUAAGUCAGCCUUAACUCUCCUGGUCCGGGACUCUCAUCCUUCUGCAAUAAUUGGAGCUCAUCCAUGCAAUAAACAAACCACUAUUUCUACUUUCUUCACUGCUCAGAAAGCAGGGGAAAAGACCACAGACCCAAACAAGCAGUUAACGACCUCCGCUUCAAACGACGACGUUGUCAAUCUAAAAGACUCUGAAUUGCUUAGAGGGAAAAGGAUCAGGGCCGCAGCUUCUGCCCUUCAACCAUCAAGCCUGCAAGACUGCCAAAGCCAACCUGCAGAGGCCAUGAAGGCUUCAGGUCCUUUCCUUUGCAAUUCUCUUUCCGCUCGAGCCCAGAGCCACCCCAGCAGCUUCCCUGUUGCUUGGGAGGAAGACGCCGUAACAGAAGGGGAGGCUUUCCUAACUACAGAUCUCAUGCGGCGCCUGGAAGAAAAGGGGGGCCUUCAGCAGCAGGUGGCUCCGGGGUCCCCCCUGAAAGAGAAAAACGGUGGCUGGCAAAGAGGAGAGAGCCCCACUUUGUUUUCUCAGAGAAGCCCAAGUUUUAAAAUAAUUCCCAACCGAAGAAUGGGUGCAGGGAAACGACGCAGACUCCUUUCCUCUUCGGCGGGCUCUACUUUUGCGGACAACUCUGACUCUGAAAAUGUGGAUCCUGAACUGGAAGCAAACCUACCAGAAGCAGCACACACGAGAGGGUUCAAUCAAACUGGACUCUGCAGAAAAUACACGGACGCCACUAGCUGUGAGACCAGCUCCCCAGCUUCAACUCAGCGGCUGUUCACACAGGACUCUGAGGGCUGCAGAGUCAUUCUGCACCACUUUGGAGGAGAAGGAAGCAAAGCGUCCUUGGCAAAGGAGCUCUGGUGGGGCAAAGGGACCCCUGUAAGAAGCUCCUUCAAUAAUAAGAGCGGCUUUAGGGAUGGUUGGGCUGGAGACAGAAGCCCCCCUGGGUCUCUGGGCAGGAGCGUUCCUCCUCCGACAGAACGUAGGGAAAAGUCGUGUUAUGACUUGCUAUUCACAGAGGAUUCAGAAGGCAAUAAAGUCAUUAAACACUAAGUCGUAAUUGCUCUGUGAGAUAGCGGGUGCUCGGUGCCUCCUUACAAAACAAACCUGGCUUAAAGGGCCCCUUUGUAUAUUGCCUGUGGCUGUGUGUCGCAUACCUAACCUGUUUUGUUCAACAUGCUUCCUUCGGCGUGGGAGCUAAUAAAAGAAACCGAGGAAUGCA